GCAGUCGAACGGCAGCACAGUAAGAGCUUGCUCUUAUGGGUGGCGAGUGGCGGACGGGUGAGGAAUACAUCGGAAUCUACCUUUUCGUGGGGGAUAACGUAGGGAAACUUACGCUAAUACCGCAUACGACCUUCGGGUGAAAGCAGGGGACCUUCGGGCCUUGCGCGGAUAGAUGAGCCGAUGUCGGAUUAGCUAGUUGGCGGGGUAAAGGCCCACCAAGGCGACGAUCCGUAGCUGGUCUGAGAGGAUGAUCAGCCACACUGGAACUGAGACACGGUCCAGACUCCUACGGGAGGCAGCAGUGGGGAAUAUUGGACAAUGGGCGCAAGCCUGAUCCAGCCAUACCGCGUGGGUGAAGAAGGCCUUCGGGUUGUAAAGCCCUUUUGUUGGGAAAGAAAAGCAGUCGAUUAAUACUCGGUUGUUCUGACGGUACCCAAAGAAUAAGCACCGGCUAACUUCGUGCCAGCAGCCGCGGUAAUACGAAGGGUGCAAGCGUUACUCGGAAUUACUGGGCGUAAAGCGUGCGUAGGUGGUUGUUUAAGUCUGUUGUGAAAGCCCUGGGCUCAACCUGGGAAUUGCAGUGGAUACUGGGCGACUAGAGUGUGGUAGAGGGUAGUGGAAUUCCCGGUGUAGCAGUGAAAUGCGUAGAGAUCGGGAGGAACAUCCAUGGCGAAGGCAGCUACCUGGACCAACACUGACACUGAGGCACGA
RNAcentral lists this ribosomal RNA (711 nucleotides) under Stenotrophomonas sp. Y4_253_3. Its description in RNAcentral is "bacterial SSU rRNA". It matches the Rfam family "Bacterial small subunit ribosomal RNA", at positions 57 to 756 of the family's 1533-position model. Lineage: Bacteria; Pseudomonadati; Pseudomonadota; Gammaproteobacteria; Lysobacterales; Lysobacteraceae. The record is from RNAcentral.